This is a long non-coding RNA of Pseudopipra pipra, 1161 nucleotides long. RefSeq lists it as uncharacterized. Lineage: Eukaryota; Metazoa; Chordata; Aves; Passeriformes; Pipridae. The record is from RefSeq and is a predicted model, not a curated record. The transcript is spliced from 3 exons.
AGGACAUAUGGUAUAUACCAGGAUAUAUGGUAUAUAUGGACUGUAUGUGUAUCAUGGCACCUAUAGACACCAGGAUGUAUGGUAUUUAUGGAUGGUAUUUAUGGAUUGUAUGUCUAUAUAGAUACCAGCAUACUCUGUCUUUGACUGUGGAUUUGUAUAUUUUUUUAAGCCUUUUCAGUCAAUAUUCUUGGGAUUUUUUAAAUUAGCAUGUAAUAAUUUGAUUUCUUUCUUUUCUCAGGAGGUAUCAAUUAAAUGGCAGUGGGGGUGCAGCUUUGCUUUUAAAGUGGCAAACCUUUGCAAACAACCAUGGUCCCUUCUCUGAGCCAUUCUCUGUCGAGAUGACAAGUCGCUGGCGGCUGUCAGGUCUGAGUAGGAAAUCUCCACAGCGGCGCUGAGAAUGUUUAUUGUAGGGAGAGAACUUUUGCCCUGUGAAGUCACCUCCUACUAGUCACCAGUAGGUUUCUGAUAUUCUAUCACAGGAAAUUCCUGGUGGACCACAAAAGCAAUCCCCUGAGUCCAGCUGCUGGCGGGGAGCAGUGGUGCACCACACCGCCAGGCUGAGCCUCAGCCUUCAGUGUGGGGCAGAGCACCUGUGCCCUGCAAAAUGCAAACUCUGUGCUCCUCAAACAAUGUUAAAAUGAACUAUACAGGGAGGCAAAGGUCAAGUGAACCAUUAUUGUGCUGCAUUUUAUGCAAACAAAAAAAAUGUAUUAGAGGAUGUGCUUUGUAUUGUAACAAGGGUCCAGCCCAACUCCCCAGUGAGCUCCUCACCAACCACUUGUGGCCCCUUCCCACACAGCUCUGCAGAACCUGGCUUUGUCUGGCAUCUCAUAAUCCUGACCAGCUCAGGAAAAGGAGUCACUUGUUGCCUGGACGUUGGAUUGAGCGGUGAAAGUGACCACAAAUGAAUCAGUAGAUUAGUUCCAGUCUAUUUUUGAAUUGUGAGAUAAAGUUGCUCUGCACAGAGAACAAGCUGUGUUGUACCUGCUACCCUGUCAUUCCAAAUUUCCUCCAUUAGAUUGAAGGGCCAAGAAAAAAGAGCAAGUUAUAAAAAGCUGAAUAAAACAUAUAAAACUCUCAUAAUGAAAAGAUGACAUUUUAAUUAAUCUUGGGAUGGGAAAGGUUGUUCUGUUGGAGCAUUCUGCAUAGAAAGGAACAAGC